ACGACCAUCAGAGCAGCUACGACGACUCGACGAGAUAGAUAUGAAAAUACCGACGACGACGAUCGUCGACUAUACGCCGCGUAUUUGGGGCGCCCGAGGCCACCGCUAAAAAUACAACCGCCCGGAGAACUGGUUUAACAGCACUCGCGCGCGUAUUUAUACACACACACACACACACAAUAUUGCGUAUGAGUAUAUAAGUACAACUCGCGCGUGUUGAUGGAAUUUCAUGUACGCGACCAAUACGGUUCGUGUGCGUUGUGGAAUUCUUGUCGUCCCGAACGCUGCAGGAAUUUCAUCGGUUGCGCGGUGGCUGCGGCUGCGGCGGCCGAAAUGCCAUUUUUUUUCUCAUUCUCCUCUUCGCCCGACAUCGUCGUGGGCCGACACGCCAGCCGCCGAUGAUGACCCUUGUUGUAACGGAAGGAAGUAUAUCGUACACAGCGUCCGUCAUGCGAGUGUGUGUAGUUCACACAUAUAAUUCGGGUAUAAACUACAAAAAGAUAAAUUUCGUCGCAAAAGACUCGAGUCUCAAUACAAUUUAGCCCACGCGAAAUCACAGCGCUGUGAUUCAGAUCUUUCUAAGCCUUGCGAUUGCCGCGAACAAAAGGGUCGUCAGAUCUUAAUACACUGUAAUUUCGACCUACAUUUAAAAUAUUGGUAAUAUUCUUUCGACAAUAUCGGCAAUCGUCUGCUAAGAACCCGUUAAAUUCUAUGACGGAUGUUUGGAAUAAUUAUGUUAUUAAUAAUAAUAAUAAUAAUUGUGUUAUGAAAUCCUAGUAAUAUAUUAUGUAGGUUUAGUUACAUCGUAUUUAUGAUUAUUACUUCUAGACUAACCUAACCUAUUUAUCGACUGAAAUAAAUAUUUUUUAAAUAAUGACUGCAUACGUGUAUUUUCAAGGAAUAUUUAUCUUGGUAAUUACAAUUUACAACACAACGAUGAAAAAGGAGGAGAGAGUGGAUUUUAUGGAUAGUAAAAUCUAACUGCAGAGACAGGGGAACGGGAAGACGAAUAGAUUACAGGUUUAAAAACGAUUUUAACUGUAUGUUUCAAUUGCGGAAACGUUAGUUCUUCGUGCAGCGUGUACUAAGAGAGUACCAGCUACAUACAAUAACAACGUCGUAACAUAGUAAACGUAAAAAACUGCAAUUACAUUGAGAACAACAACAACAACAACUACUACUACAGCAGCAGCAAGCACGAAUACGACUUUCCCUCCCUCUAAACAGCCUUAUUACUCACCGUCGUGCUUGGACGCAAUAGUCGCCACCCCACCAACAACCGUUCCGAUGGACAACUACAACUGCAGUAGUAUAAUAUUAUUAUUAGUCAUUAGUUAUUAUCUUUAUCUAAGUACGUAGUUAUAACUUAUCACUUAUAUCUUACUGUAUUCUUGUAUCAACUCGACGAUGAUUUAUACAUACAGGAUGAUUCACCAAACAUGCACACCCCCAUUUUUCAUUUAUAAUAGCGAAUUUAUUCAAAUUCUGAAUUUUGAAAUUUUAAAAUAUGCUUAAAGACCAUUUGAAAAAUUAAUUGAGAUUUUUUUUUGUAUACUGUAUAAGAAGAAGUGGUGAUGCAAUUUUUUUAAAAUAAAAACCUCCGGGGUUGAAAACGUAUUUUAUUAUAUAAAUUGUAAGUGAAUACCGAAUUUAAAAAAAAAUUUGAUGUAAGUUACAAUUCAA
Aphis gossypii (cotton aphid) is the source of this 1683-nucleotide long non-coding RNA. RefSeq lists it as uncharacterized. The record is from RefSeq and is a predicted model, not a curated record. NCBI's taxonomy places the organism in Eukaryota, Metazoa, Arthropoda, Insecta, Hemiptera, Aphididae. The transcript is spliced from 3 exons.